This 253-nucleotide ribosomal RNA is filed under the name uncultured bacterium. RNAcentral describes it as "partial 16S ribosomal RNA". It matches the Rfam family "Bacterial small subunit ribosomal RNA", at positions 524 to 776 of the family's 1533-position model. The record is from RNAcentral.
UACGAAGGACCCAAGCGUUAUCCGGAUUUAUUGGGUUUAAAGGGUGCGUAGGCGGAUUAUUAAGUCAGUGGUGAAAGCCUGCAGCUUAACUGCAGAACUGCCAUUGAUACUGAUGAUCUUGAGUAUGAUUGAGGUGGGCGGAAUGUGUCAUGUAGCGGUGAAAUGCUUAGAUAUGACACAGAACACCGAUUGCGAAGGCAGCUUGCUACACUACUAUUGACACUGAGGCACGAAAGCGUGGGGAUCAAACAGG